UCUCUACCGAUGGCGAUGCAGAUUUUCC
RNAcentral lists this small RNA (28 nucleotides) under Bombyx mori (domestic silkworm). RNAcentral's name for it is "ovarian small RNA-29824". The record is from RNAcentral. Lineage: Eukaryota; Metazoa; Arthropoda; Insecta; Lepidoptera; Bombycidae.